UACGAAGGGGGCUAGCGUUGCUCGGAAUUACUGGGCGUAAAGGGCGCGUAGGCGGAUAUCUAAGUUGGGGGUGAAAUCCCGGGGCUCAACCUCGGAAUUGCCUUCAAAACUGGAUAUCUUGAGUUCGGGAGAGGUGAGUGGAACUCCGAGUGUAGAGGUGAAAUCCGUAGAUAUUCGGAAGAACACCAGUGGCGAAGGCGACUCACUGGCCCGAUACCGACGCUGAGGCGCGAAAGCGUGGGGAGCAAACAGG
RNAcentral lists this ribosomal RNA (253 nucleotides) under uncultured bacterium. RNAcentral describes it as "partial 16S ribosomal RNA". It matches the Rfam family "Bacterial small subunit ribosomal RNA", at positions 524 to 776 of the family's 1533-position model. The record is from RNAcentral.